CUUAAUGGACAAGCUCUCGCAUGGCUGACCCUUUUCCUACCUAAUGAAGCCCAUGAGCCAUAGAUUUCAGCCCUAGGUACCUCGUAGAUUUUUGUUGUGCUGGAUUUAUAACUUUACUAUUUAAACCAUAAGUUCUAGUUGAGAUGAACCUAAGCCUAUGUAUAAACCCAAUGUGUGUAUAGGCCUAAGUCCAUUUCAAAACCCGUGUUGAGCAAGAGGAUGCUUACUUAUGGU
RNAcentral lists this unclassified non-coding RNA (234 nucleotides) under Hevea brasiliensis (rubber tree). Lineage: Eukaryota; Viridiplantae; Streptophyta; Magnoliopsida; Malpighiales; Euphorbiaceae. The record is from RNAcentral.